Molecule: ribosomal RNA, 512 nt
Filed under: uncultured bacterium
Lineage: Bacteria
Description: bacterial SSU rRNA
Rfam family: Bacterial small subunit ribosomal RNA
Source: RNAcentral
GAUGAACGCUAGCGAUAGGCCUAACACAUGCAAGUCGAGGGGCAUCACAUGAAGUAGCAAUACGGAUGGUGGCGACCGGCGCACGGGUGAGUAACACGUAUGCAACCUGCCUUCAACAAGGGGAUAACCCGUUGAAAGACGGACUAAUACCCUAUAACACAGGGGUCCCGCAUGGGAAUAUUUGUUAAAGGACAACCGGUUGAAGAUGGGCAUGCGUUCCAUUAGCUAGUUGGCGGGGUAACGGCCCACCAAGGCAACGAUGGAUAGGGGAACUGAGAGGUUUAUCCCCCACACUGGUACUGAGACACGGACCAGACUCCUACGGGAGGCAGCAGUGAGGAAUAUUGGUCAAUGGACGCAAGUCUGAACCAGCCACGUCGCGUGAAGGAAGACGGCCCUACGGGUUGUAAACUUCUUUUAUACGGGGAAUAAAGUGCCCCACGCGUGGGGUUUUGCAUGUACCGUAUGAAUAAGGAUCGGCUAACUCCGUGCCAGCAGCCGCGGUAAAUACG